AAAUACUGUUGAACUCAUGAGUGAGUGAGUGACAAAAUUAACAAAACUCAUGAUUCUCAAAAAUUCAAGGAAGAUGUGCGAGUUGAGACUAAGACGGAUUUUAGGAGUUUUGAUGACAAAGAAUCAACCAUUGGAAAUAUGGCUAUUUGAACUUGGAUCUCAUUAUUGAUGCAUGCAUGAUGGUGAGCUGAAGAAGAAAACCAUGACAAAAGAAAGUUCCUAGUGUUCAUCAUGCAGCCAUUUUGAAUGCCCAACUGAGAGAGCAAGCCAGUGUGAAAAAUUAUUUCUUGGAAGUUAAACAAAAUCUGCUGUGAAUUAAAGCUUUAAAAGUACAUUUAAAAACAUUCUGAUUCAUCUAUAAGUGAGACUAGAUUGCCUUUGACAGUUGCCAGUGGAAUUCGGAUCUGAAUUGUACCAGUAUUAAUAAAUUGAAGUGAUUUGCCUUAAAAUUACAUUUGUAUAUGGUGUACAUUAAUUACUUCAAGGAGAUAUAAUACACCUGUUUAAACAAUGAGGUCCAUAGCAAAAAAACAUGGAUUUGGAAUUUAGCUCACCUUAUCCAAAGGCUCAAUUGCACAAUUCUGAUAAAAAGAAGUCUCUGGUAUCCAACAAUGCAACAUUUAUAUGUUUGACCGUUUGUCCUCCAUUAACUUUUAACAUUUUCUUUUUUUUUUUCUAACAUUUGGUCAAUGUAAACCACAUUUGGUACAAUGUAUCUCUGCUUAAAAGGAAUAAAGCUUAUUCAAAUAAA
Long non-coding RNA from Saccostrea echinata, 751 nucleotides. RefSeq lists it as uncharacterized. The transcript has 2 exons. Lineage: Eukaryota; Metazoa; Mollusca; Bivalvia; Ostreida; Ostreidae. The record is from RefSeq and is a predicted model, not a curated record.